UUGGAAGUUUGAUGAUUAUGGAUGCAAGUUUGUUCAUGUUCCAAACACCAUAAGUUUGCAUUGGUCUUUUGUAUGCAGUAGGUGUGUGUGAGUUUGUAUUCAAUAAUGAUAAAAAAAAAAGAGUUUAGAUUGUUGUAACAUGAGAGAAAUGGAAGGUAUAUGAAUGUGUUUUUUGUGUAGCUUCACGAAUAUGGUCAUUGUCUUACUUGGGUCUUAUUGAAUCAUUUCUAUAUUACAGAUAAAAU
RNAcentral lists this long non-coding RNA (245 nucleotides) under Lathyrus oleraceus (garden pea). RNAcentral describes it as "Pisum sativum (pea) long non-coding RNA (PSAT_LNC007250)". Lineage: Eukaryota; Viridiplantae; Streptophyta; Magnoliopsida; Fabales; Fabaceae. The record is from RNAcentral.